AUUGAACGCUGGCGGCAGGCCUAACACAUGCAGGUCGAGCGGUUGACGGGGGCUUGCUCCCUGAUUCAGCGGCGGACGGGUGAGUAAUGCCUAGGAAUCUGCCUAUUAGUGGGGGACAACGUUUCGAAAGGAACGCUAAUACCGCAUACGUCCUACGGGAGAAAGCAGGGGACCUUCGGGCCUUCCGCUAAUAGAUGAGCCUAGGUCGGAUUAGCUUGUUGGUGAGGUAAUGGCUCACCAAGGCGACGAUCCGUAACUGGUCUGAGAGGAUGAUCAGUCACACUGGAACUGAGACACGGUCCAGACUCCUACGGGAGGCAGCAGUGGGGAAUAUUGGACAAUGGGCGAAAGCCUGAUCCAGCCAUGCCGCGUGUGUGAAGAAGGUCUUCGGAUUGUAAAGCACUUUAAGUUGGGAGGAAGGGUUGUAGAUUAAUACUCUGCAAUUUUGACGUUACCGACAGAAUAAGCACCGGCUAACUCUGUGCCAGCCGCCGCCGUAA
This 500-nucleotide ribosomal RNA is filed under the name uncultured bacterium. RNAcentral describes it as "partial 16S ribosomal RNA". It matches the Rfam family "Bacterial small subunit ribosomal RNA", at positions 30 to 523 of the family's 1533-position model. The record is from RNAcentral.